UUGUUUUUGCAGCAGAUAUACUAAAAUUGGAAUGAUACAAAAAAGAUGAGCAUGGCCCCUAUACAAAGAUGACAUGCAAAUUCCUGAAGCAUUCCACUGUUUU
Molecule: small nuclear RNA, 103 nt
Organism: Dromiciops gliroides (monito del monte)
Lineage: Eukaryota; Metazoa; Chordata; Mammalia; Microbiotheria; Microbiotheriidae
Source: RefSeq, a predicted model, not a curated record